Molecule: ribosomal RNA, 540 nt
Filed under: uncultured bacterium
Lineage: Bacteria
Description: bacterial SSU rRNA
Rfam family: Bacterial small subunit ribosomal RNA
Source: RNAcentral
GGAGUUUGAUCCUGGCUCAGGACGAACGCUGGCGGCGUGCUUAACACAUGCAAGUCGAACGGGAUCCAAGUAGUAGCAAUACCACGGAAGAUCUAGUGGCGAACGGGUGAGUAACACGUGAGGNACCUACCCCGGACUCAAGGAUAACAGACGGAAACAUCUGCUAAUACCUGAUGCCGUCGGAGCAUCACAUGGUGCACUGACGAAAGAAUCUCGGUUCGGGAGGGCCUCGCGGCCUAUGAGCUUGUUGGUGGGGUAACGGCCUACCAAGGCGUCGACGGGUAGCUGGUCUGAGAGGAUGAUCAGCCACACUGGGACUGAGACACGGCCCAGACUCCUACGGGAGGCAGCAGUGGGAAAUGUUGCGCAAUGGGCGAAAGCCUGACGCAGCAACGCCGCGUGCGGGAUGAAGGCCCUAGGGUUGUAAACCGCUUUCAGUAGGAACGAAAAUGACGGUACCUGCAGAAGAAGGUGCGGCCAACUACGUGCCAGCAGCCGCGGUGACACGUAGGCACCAAGCGUUGUCCGGAUUUAUUGGGC